This 90-nucleotide transfer RNA is filed under the name Aspergillus ustus. It matches the Rfam family "tRNA". Rfam says of the family: Transfer RNA (tRNA) molecules are approximately 80 nucleotides in length. Their secondary structure includes four short double-helical elements and three loops (D, anti-codon, and T loops). Lineage: Eukaryota; Fungi; Ascomycota; Eurotiomycetes; Eurotiales; Aspergillaceae. The record is from Rfam by way of RNAcentral.
UCCUCGAUGGUCUAACGGUCAUGAUUUCCGCUUGUCAAGCUUAACCGGCUACGAGCGCGGGAGACCUGGGUUCGACUCCCAGUCGGGGAG